AGAGUUUGAUUCUGGCUCAGAACGAACGCUGGCGGCGUGGUUCAGGCAUGCAAGUCGAACGAUCUCGCAAGAGAUAGUGGCAGAAGGGUUAGUAACACGUGGGCAAUCUACCCCCGAAUCGGGGAUAACAUUUCGAAAGAAGUGCUAAUACCCGAUGACACCCAAUCCUCGCAUGAGGGAUGGGUCAAAGGUAGCUUCGCAAGGAGCUUCCGUUUGAGGAGGAGCCCGCGGCCUAUCAGCUAGUUGGUGAGGUAACGGCCCACCAAGGCUUUUGACGGGUAGCUGGUCUAAGAGGACGAUCAGCAACAUUGGGACUGAGACACUGCCCAGACUCCUACGGGAGGCUGCAGUCGAGGAUCUUUAGCAAUGCCCGAAAGGGUGACUAUGCGACGCCGCGUGGAGGACGAAGGCCUUCGGGUUGUAAACUCCUGUCAGGGGGGAAGAAACUUUACCGGUUAAGAGCUGGUAAACUGACAUCACCCCCAAAGGAAGCCACGGCUAACUCUGUGCCAGCAGCCGCGGUAAGACAGAGGUGGCAAGCGUUGUUCGGAUUCAUUGGGUGUAAAGGGCAGGUAGGUGGUCAUGUAAGUCCGGUGUGAAAUCCCACGGCUCAACCGUGGAACUGCAUUGGAAACUGCGUGACUUGAGUGCCGGAGAGGUGAGGGGAAUUCUCGGUGUAAGGGUGAAAUCUGUAGAUAUCGAGAGGAACACCAGUGGCGAAGGCGCCUCACUGGCCGGUUACUGACACUGAGCUGCGAAAGCUAGGGGAGCAAACAGGAUUAGAUACCCUGGUAGUCCUAGCCGUAAACGAUGAGGACUAGGUGUCGGUUCGCAAGGAUCGGUGCCGAAGUUAACACAUUAAGUCCUCCACCUGGGGAGUACGUCCGCAAGGAUGAAAC
RNAcentral lists this ribosomal RNA (899 nucleotides) under groundwater metagenome. Its description in RNAcentral is "bacterial SSU rRNA". It matches the Rfam family "Bacterial small subunit ribosomal RNA", at positions 8 to 900 of the family's 1533-position model. The record is from RNAcentral.